RNAcentral lists this transfer RNA (77 nucleotides) under bacterium. Its description in RNAcentral is "tRNA-Val". It matches the Rfam family "tRNA". Rfam says of the family: Transfer RNA (tRNA) molecules are approximately 80 nucleotides in length. Their secondary structure includes four short double-helical elements and three loops (D, anti-codon, and T loops). The record is from RNAcentral.
GGGCGAUUAGCUCAGUUGGCUAGAGCGCCUGCCUUACACGCAGGAAGUCACUGGUUCAAAUCCAGUAUCGCCCACCA